RNAcentral lists this ribosomal RNA (254 nucleotides) under uncultured bacterium. RNAcentral's name for it is "partial 16S ribosomal RNA". It matches the Rfam family "Bacterial small subunit ribosomal RNA", at positions 524 to 776 of the family's 1533-position model. The record is from RNAcentral.
UACGUAGGGGGCAAGCGUUGUCCGGAUUUAUUGGGCGUAAAGAGCUCGUAGGUGGUUCGGUAAGUCGGAUGUGAAAUCUCCAGGCUCAACCUGGAGGGGUCAUUCGAUACUGCCGUGACUAGAGUUCGGUAGGGGAGUGUGGAAUUCCUGGUGGAGCGGUGAAAUGCGCAGAUAUCAGGAGGAACACCGGUGGCGAAGGCGGCAUCCUGGACCGACACUGACGCUGAGGCGCGAAAGCUAGGGGAGCAAACGGG